CCUACGGGAGGCAGCAGUGGGGAAUAUUGCACAAUGGGCGCAAGCCUGAUGCAGCAACGCCGCGUGAGGGACGACGGCCUUCGGGUUGUAAACCUCUUUUAGUAGGGAAGAAGCGAAAGUGACGGUACCUGCAGAAAAAGCACCGGCUAACUACGUGCCAGCAGCCGCGGUAAUACGUAGGGUGCAAGCGUUGUCCGGAAUUAUUGGGCGUAAAGAGCUCGUAGGCGGUUUGUCGCGUCUGCUGUGAAAACCCGAGGCUCAACCUCGGGCCUGCAGUGGGUACGGGCAGACUAGAGUGCGGUAGGGGAGAUUGGAAUUCCUGGUGUAGCGGUGGAAUGCGCAGAUAUCAGGAGGAACACCGAUGGCGAAGGCAGAUCUCUGGGCCGUAACUGACGCUGAGGAGCGAAAGCAUGGGGAGCGAACAGGAUUAGAUACCCGUGGUAGUCCAUGCCGUAAACGUUGGGAACUAGAUGUAGGGACCAUUCCACGGUUUCUGUGUCGCAGCUAACGCAUUAGUUCCCGCCUGGGGAGUACGGCCGCAAGGCUAAAACUUAAAGGAAUUGACGG
RNAcentral lists this ribosomal RNA (567 nucleotides) under uncultured bacterium. RNAcentral's name for it is "bacterial SSU rRNA". It matches the Rfam family "Bacterial small subunit ribosomal RNA", at positions 338 to 916 of the family's 1533-position model. The record is from RNAcentral.